RNAcentral lists this ribosomal RNA (492 nucleotides) under uncultured bacterium. RNAcentral describes it as "partial 16S ribosomal RNA". It matches the Rfam family "Bacterial small subunit ribosomal RNA", at positions 29 to 507 of the family's 1533-position model. The record is from RNAcentral.
AGUGAACGCUGGCGGUAGGCCUAACACAUGCAAGUCGAACGGCAGCACAGUAAGAGCUUGCUCUUACGGGUGGCGAGUGGCGGACGGGUGAGGAAUACAUCGGAAUCUACUUUUUCGUGGGGGAUAACGUAGGGAAACUUACGCUAAUACCGCAUACGACCUACGGGUGAAAGCAGGGGAUCUUCGGACCUUGCGCGAUUGAAUGAGCCGAUGUCGGAUUAGCUAGUUGGCGGGGUAAAGGCCCACCAAGGCGACGAUCCGUAGCUGGUCUGGGAGGAUGAUCAGCCACACUGGAACUGAGACACGGUCCAGACUCCUACGGGAGGCAGCAGUGGGGAAUAUUGGACAAUGGGCGCAAGCCUGAUCCAGCCAUACUGCGUGGGUGAAGAAGGCCUUCGGGUUGUAAAGCCCUUUUGUUGGGAAAGAAAAGCAGCAGGUUAAUACCCCGCUGUUCUGACGGUACCCAAAGAAUAAGCACCGGCUAACUUCGUG